GAUGAACGCUGGCGGCGUGCCUAAUACAUGCAAGUCGAGCGAACGGGCGAGAAGCUUGCUUCUCUGAUGUUAGCGGCGGACGGGUGAGUAACACGUGGAUAACCUACCUAUAAGACUGGGAUAACUUCGGGAAACCGGAGCUAAUACCGGAUGAUAUUUUGAACCGCAUGGUUCAAAAGUGAAAGACGGUCUUGCUGUCACUUAUAGAUGGAUCCGCGCUGCAUUAGCUAGUUGGUAAGGUAACGGCUUACCAAGGCAACGAUGCAUAGCCGACCUGAGAGGGGGAUAGGCCACACGGGAACUGAGACGCGGUCCAGACGACUACGGGAGGCAGCAGUAGGGAAUCUUCCGCAAUGGGCGAAAGCCUGACGGAGCAACGCCGCGUGAGUGAUGAAGGUCUUCGGAUCGUAAAACUCUGUUAUUAGGGAAGAACAUAUGUGUAAGUAACUGUGCACAUCUUGACGGUACCUAAUCAGAAAGCCACGGCUAACUACGUG
RNAcentral lists this ribosomal RNA (497 nucleotides) under uncultured bacterium. RNAcentral describes it as "partial 16S ribosomal RNA". It matches the Rfam family "Bacterial small subunit ribosomal RNA", at positions 28 to 507 of the family's 1533-position model. The record is from RNAcentral.